UUUUGUUAACACCGAGCGAAGACGUGUCACGUUCUCACUUUCGCUGUGCCGUCGGAGUUCGCGAAAUGAAAGGCUCCAACGACUCGCAGUCGACUGGGACUCUUCGGUCCGUGUUUUAAGACGGAAGAGAGUCGUGUAGAGAAAGAG
Long non-coding RNA from Octopus sinensis (East Asian common octopus), 147 nucleotides. RefSeq lists it as uncharacterized. The record is from RefSeq and is a predicted model, not a curated record. NCBI's taxonomy places the organism in Eukaryota, Metazoa, Mollusca, Cephalopoda, Octopoda, Octopodidae. The transcript is spliced from 6 exons.